This 431-nucleotide RNase P RNA is filed under the name Phycisphaerae bacterium. RNAcentral's name for it is "RNase P RNA component class A". It matches the Rfam family "Bacterial RNase P class A". From Rfam's summary of the family: Ribonuclease P (RNase P) is a ubiquitous endoribonuclease, found in archaea, bacteria and eukarya as well as chloroplasts and mitochondria. Its best characterised activity is the generation of mature 5'-ends of tRNAs by cleaving the 5'-leader elements of precursor-tRNAs. Cellular RNase Ps are ribonucleoproteins. The record is from RNAcentral. Lineage: Bacteria; Pseudomonadati; Planctomycetota; Phycisphaerae.
UCUGAUGCGUGGAAGACCGCUCCGACCUUAAUGGUCGGGGAGGAAAGUCCGAGCACCACUGGAUCGCGGUGGUGGGUAACGCCCACCGUCUGGACGUUGCGAUUAGUCGUUUCAUCCGGACCGGGAAAGUGCCGCAGAAAAUAUACCGCCCGGGCCUGUAAGGGCUUGGGUAAGGGUGAAAUGGUGCGGUAAGAGCGCACCGCGGGCGUCGUGAGGCGCCCGGCAUGGUAAACCCCACCGGGUGCAAGGCCAAGCAGCGAUGAGGCUUGAUCCAGGCCGUUUGAAUCGCGGGUAGGCCGCUUUUCCCCAGGGAAAAUUCCCUUCGGAAAGAGCUCGUCUGUAAAGGCGGGUCAAGACAAAUGGUCUUCGCCUUAUCGCGGUGUGCCCGCCGCGACAAGGAACAGAACUCGGCUUACAGCGCAUCAGACAGG